UCCUGAGGCCGCCCCAGAAGCAGAAGCCGCUAUGUUUCCUCUACAGCCUGCAGAACGUUAUCCCAUUCUUUCCACCACUGGACUUUCUUGGACCCCUUCUUGAAAAUCAAUUUGCCGGAAAGGUGGGAAUACGAGAAGAGGAGCCUGCAGCCUGGAAGGUCCUUGCCAGAGCCUGACCAUAUGGACACCCUGAUCUCAGAGUUCACACCUCCAGAAUUGAGAGAAAUAAGUUUCUGUCAUUGAUAAGCCACCAAGUCUAUGGUACUCUGUUAUAGAAGCCUAAACUAAGACAGUCCCCUGAAUUUGUUCUUUCUCAGUGUUGCUUUGUAUUUUAUUGAGGGUCAUUUGCACUUUGAAAUAAACUUUAGGAUCCACUUGUUAAUUUGUGAAAAAAAAGGUCAUUGGAA
Molecule: long non-coding RNA, 407 nt
Organism: Macaca mulatta (Rhesus monkey)
Lineage: Eukaryota; Metazoa; Chordata; Mammalia; Primates; Cercopithecidae
Source: RefSeq, a predicted model, not a curated record